GGACAGGUCAGCAACAUUUUGUAGAUAAAUCUUACAUUGAAAAAUGGUACCAAAAUUAUUUUUGUUUCUCUGUGGAGAAAGGCAAGACAGAAAAAAGAACUGGGAUUGCAAAUUUUCUUGUGUAUGAAAAUUGAUUUGUUAGUUGUUGGCUGAAAACCCUUUUUUCCAGCAUGUUAGUGAUUGUCGAUGAACUUCGAAAUGUUCUUAUUCCCUUAUCUUUUUUUAUUUAUUAUUUGAGUAAAAAUAGAUGAAAAUUUUCACUCUUAAUCUAUCAUUGAAAUGGCUCUGUAUCAAAGAUCUUCUCUUAGGCUCAUAACAUUUAUCCAGUUUAUUGGAAAUCCAAAGAAGGAAAUAGCAAUCCAUGUUUUGUCAAGGCAUGCUCAAGUAGGAAGUAGCAUGAUUUGAUCAUAUCUCAAAGAUAUUUCAGCACUUGCUAACUGUUAUGCAAAUUAAUCAGGGAUGUGGUCACUUUCCCUGG
RNAcentral lists this unclassified non-coding RNA (478 nucleotides) under Hevea brasiliensis (rubber tree). The record is from RNAcentral. Lineage: Eukaryota; Viridiplantae; Streptophyta; Magnoliopsida; Malpighiales; Euphorbiaceae.